UACGAAGGGGGCUAGCGUUGUUCGGAAUUACUGGGCGUAAAGCGUGCGCAGGCGGCUUCUCAAGUCAGGGGUGAAAGCCCAGAGCUCAACUCUGGAAUUGCCUUUGAGACUGAGUGGCUUGAGUACGGGAGAGGUGAGUGGAAUUCCCAGUGUAGUGGUGGAAUGCGUAGAUAUCGGGAGGAACACCAGUGGCGAAGGCGGUUGCCUGGGGCUUUGCUGACGCUGAUGCGCGAAAGCGUGGGGAGCGAUCCGG
This 253-nucleotide ribosomal RNA is filed under the name uncultured bacterium. RNAcentral describes it as "partial 16S ribosomal RNA". It matches the Rfam family "Bacterial small subunit ribosomal RNA", at positions 524 to 776 of the family's 1533-position model. The record is from RNAcentral.